This 624-nucleotide long non-coding RNA is filed under the name Anthonomus grandis grandis. RNAcentral describes it as "uncharacterized LOC126738941". The record is from RNAcentral. Lineage: Eukaryota; Metazoa; Arthropoda; Insecta; Coleoptera; Curculionidae.
GUGUGUUUUGUUGUUAUACUGUUAUUGAUUUAUCCUAAAAAUGUCUAGGGGCUUACGGUGUCUGAAUUUAUGUAUUAAAAGUAAAGAAGCUGUUGAAACCCUGAAAUUGCGACUCACAAACGAAGAGUUUUCCGAAGGAACAACAAUGUCUCAAUAGACGUUGGCGGUACUCCCACAAACAAAGGGAGACGAAUCUAAAGAUGCUCCAGACCCCAUGACUAUUCUUGACAAUGUUAAUGAUAAUGCUUUUUUUGAGCAAAAUCCAGAAUUAUCCUUUCAACCCAAGCCUGAUCAAGAAAUUAUUGUUAAUAAAUUAGCGGGACAUGAAGCUACGGUACAUUCACAAACAAACGGAGACGAACCUAAAAAUGAUCCAGAAACAAUUAUGACCUACACUAUUCUCGAAAAUGUUAUUGACAGUGUUAUUUCUGAGCAAAAUCCAGAGUUAUCUCUGCAACCCAAAGGUGAUCAAGAAGUUAUUAUCAAUGAACCAUUAGCAGGAGGAGCCGCUGAAACUACCGACCUUGAUAAAGACAACAUCCCUAUUAUUAUUAUACAACCAAAUGGAACAGUUGUUUCUAAUGAGGAAAAUAGUAUUGCCAUGAAUUCAUUCAGUGCUGCGGU